Molecule: ribosomal RNA, 439 nt
Filed under: uncultured bacterium
Lineage: Bacteria
Description: partial 16S ribosomal RNA
Rfam family: Bacterial small subunit ribosomal RNA
Source: RNAcentral
CCUACGGGGGGCAGCAGUGGGGAAUGUUGCGCAAUGGGGGAAACCCUGACGCAGCAACGCCGCGUGAGGGACGACGGCCCUCGGGUUGUAAACCGCUUUCAGUGGGGACGAGGGUGACGGUACCCACAGAAGAAGCCCCGGCUAACUACGUGCCAGCAGCCGCGGUAAUACGUGGGGGGCGAGUGUUAUCCGGAGUCAUGGGGGGUAAAGCGCGCGUAGGCGGCUGCCUAAGCGGAACCUAAAAUCUCGGGGCGCAACCCCGGGCCGGGUUCCGAAAGGGGCGGCUCGAGUGCGGUAGAGGCAGGCGGAAUUCCCGGUGUAGCGGUGAAAUGCGCAGAUAUCGGGAAGAACACCGAUGGCGAAGGCAGCCUGCUGGGCCGUCACUGACGCUGAGGCGCGAAAGCUGGGGGAGCGAACAGGAUUAGAUACCCGGGUAGUC